GCCUUCUUCCUCCGCCCAGCCGCCACAGUAAUUUGUCGUCAAGUCUGCCACAGGAGGAUAUUUUGUUCUGGGUUAACCUGCUUUUCUACCUCGCAGGUUGUUUAUCAAUAUUGUGUAAUUUUAAUUACUCCUAGAAUUUCCGCAUGUGUUAGCAGUAUUUAUUUGAAUUUGGUCUGUAAUAUUUUUAUCAUGUUGGACCUGUAAACUUAAAUAUGUUAUGCAUGUUGAUGGAUUGGAUGAGGGAGCUGAGCUCCCAUUUAUUUUAUGUUGAUGAGUAUGUGGAGGGUGAGCUGAGCUCCCCAAUUGAGUA
Molecule: long non-coding RNA, 310 nt
Organism: Hevea brasiliensis (rubber tree)
Lineage: Eukaryota; Viridiplantae; Streptophyta; Magnoliopsida; Malpighiales; Euphorbiaceae
Exons: 2
Source: RefSeq, a predicted model, not a curated record